UGUAGUCUCGCACAGAUGCAUAUCAAUAAGCGGAGGAAAAGAAACUAACAAGGAUUCCCCUAGUAACGGCGAGUGAAGCGGGAAGAGCUCAAAUUUGAAAUCUUAAAGGGUUUCCCUUUACGAAUUGUAGUUUAAAGAAGUGUUUUUCUGUUGAGGUUUUGGUAAAAGUUCUUUGGAAUAGGACAUCAUAGAGGGUGAGAAUCCCGUAUUUGACCUUUACUUUCAACUUUGUGAUACACUUUCAAAGAGUCGGAUUGUUUGGGAAUGCAGUCCAAAAUGGGUGGUAAAUUUCAUCUAAAGCUAAAUAUUGGCGAGAGACCGAUAGCGAACAAGUACCGUGAGGGAAAGAUGAAAAGAACUUUGAAAAGAGAGUUAAACAGUACGUGAAAUUGUCAAAAGGGAAGCGUUUGACACCAGUGUUGUUUUUCUGAAAAUCAAUUAAAGAACUGUUUAUGCUAAGCUGUUUAGACUUUAUCAGCUAACUGUUUAGUUUUAAGCUUUUCUUUAAUGCACUUUUCAGUUAACAAGUCAACAUCAAUUUCUUUUGCUGUAAAAAAGCUUGAGGAAGGUGGCUUGAGAUUCGUCUUAAGUGUUUAUAGCCUCUUGCCUAUGCAGUCGGAGAGAUUGAGGUCUGCAGCGUAGAUCCUUCGGGGCUAAAUGCAUUUGUGCUAAAUUAUAGCAUUUUAUAGACAACUUGUUGAUUAUGAUUUGUCUUGUAGCUUACUCGCUUAUGUUAUUUUACCUACGCUUAGGAUGUUGAUGUGAUACUGCGAGCA
This 776-nucleotide ribosomal RNA is filed under the name uncultured Neocallimastigales. Its description in RNAcentral is "partial large subunit ribosomal RNA". It matches the Rfam family "Eukaryotic large subunit ribosomal RNA", at positions 24 to 646 of the family's 3401-position model. Lineage: Eukaryota; Fungi; Neocallimastigomycota; Neocallimastigomycetes; Neocallimastigales. The record is from RNAcentral.